Molecule: unclassified non-coding RNA, 331 nt
Filed under: soil metagenome
Description: partial contains 5.8S ribosomal RNA, internal transcribed spacer 2, and large subunit ribosomal RNA
Rfam family: 5.8S ribosomal RNA (bases 1-120)
Source: RNAcentral
GAUGAAGAACGCAGCGAAAUGCGAUAAGUAAUGUGAAUUGCAGAAUUCAGUGAAUCAUCGAAUCUUUGAACGCACAUUGCGCCCCCUGGUAUUCCGGGGGGCAUGCCUGUUCGAGCGUCAUUUCACCACUCAAGCCUCGCUUGGUAUUGGGCAACGCGGUCCGCCGCGUGCCUCAAAUCGACCGGCUGGGUCUUCUGUCCCCUAAGCGUUGUGGAAACUAUUCGCUAAAGGGUGUUCGGGAGGCUACGCCGUAAAACGACCCCAGUUCUAAGGUUGACCUCUGAUCAGGUAGGGAUACCCGCUGAACUUAAGCAUAUCAAUAAGCGGAGGA